This 305-nucleotide ribosomal RNA is filed under the name uncultured bacterium. RNAcentral's name for it is "bacterial SSU rRNA". It matches the Rfam family "Bacterial small subunit ribosomal RNA", at positions 335 to 658 of the family's 1533-position model. The record is from RNAcentral.
GUCCUACGGGGCGCAGCAGUGGGGAAUAUUGGGCAAUGGGGGAAACCCUGACCCAGCGACGCCGCGUGAGGGAAGAAGGUUUUCGGAUUGUAAACCUCUGUCCUUGGUGACGAUAAUGACGGUAGCCAAGGAGGAAGUCACGGCUAACUACGUGCCAGCAGCCGCGGUAAUACGUAGGUGGCAAGCGUUGUCCGGAUUUAUUGGGCGUAAAGCGAGUGCAGGCGGUUCAAUAAGUCUGAUGUGAAAGCCUUCGGCUCAACCGGAGGAUUGCAUCAGAAACUGUUUAACUUGAGUGCAGAAGAGGG